RNAcentral lists this ribosomal RNA (429 nucleotides) under Actinomycetes bacterium. RNAcentral's name for it is "Actinobacteria bacterium partial 16S ribosomal RNA". It matches the Rfam family "Bacterial small subunit ribosomal RNA", at positions 355 to 776 of the family's 1533-position model. Lineage: Bacteria; Bacillati; Actinomycetota; Actinomycetes. The record is from RNAcentral.
UAGGGAAUCUUCCGCAAUGGGCGAAAGCCUGACGGAGCAACGCCGCGUGAGUGAUGAAGGUCUUCGGAUCGUAAAACUCUGUUAUUAGGGAAGAACAAAUGUGUAAGUAACUAUGCACGUCUUGACGGUACCUAAUCAGAAAGCCACGGCUAACUACGUGCCAGCAGCCGCGGUAAUACGUAGGUGGCAAGCGUUAUCCGGAAUCAUCGGGCGUAAAGCGCGCGUAGGCGGUUUUUUAAGUCUGUUGUGAAAGCCCACGGCUCAACCGUGGAGGGUCAUUGGAAACUGGAAAACUUGAGUGCAGAAGAGGAAAGUGGAAUUCCAUGUGUAGCGGUGAAAUGCGCAGAGAUAUGGAGGAACACCAGUGGCGAAGGCGACUUUCUGGUCUGUAACUGACGCUGAUGUGCGAAAGCGUGGGGAUCAAACAGG